GGGGAAUUUUGGACAAUGGGCGCAAGCCUGAUCCAGCCAUGCCGCGUGAGUGAAGAAGGCCUUCGGGUUGUAAAGCUCUUUCGGUGAAGACGAAACGGUUAGCGUUAAUAACGCUGACUAAUGACGGUACUCACAGAAGAAGCACCGGCUAACUACGUGCCAGCAGCCGCGGUAAUACGUAGGGUGCAGGCGUUAAUCGGAAUUACUGGGCGUAAAGCGUGCGCAGGCGGUUUGCUAAGACAGGUGUGAAAUCCCCGGGCUUAACCUGGGAAUUGCGCUUGUAACUGGCAAGCUAGAGUGUGGCAGAGGGGGGUGGAAUUCCACGUGUAGCAGUGAAAUGCGUAGAUAUGUGGAGGAACACCGAUGGCGAAGGCAGCCCCCUGGGUUAACACUGACGCUCAGGCACGAAAGCGUGGGGAGCAAAC
Molecule: ribosomal RNA, 425 nt
Filed under: uncultured bacterium
Lineage: Bacteria
Description: bacterial SSU rRNA
Rfam family: Bacterial small subunit ribosomal RNA
Source: RNAcentral